RNAcentral lists this small RNA (615 nucleotides) under Histoplasma capsulatum var. duboisii H88. RNAcentral's name for it is "Histoplasma capsulatum H88 hypothetical RNA". The record is from RNAcentral. Lineage: Eukaryota; Fungi; Ascomycota; Eurotiomycetes; Onygenales; Ajellomycetaceae.
GGUUCUGGGUCGGGCUGACGAUUGGGUAUAUGAAGGUUGUGCCUAUGGUAGCGGUGAGCUUUUAUGUGUAUGAAAGGUCGAAGUGGUGGUUAGGGAUUUAGGAAUUGGAUUAGGUGGGUCGGUGGCAUUUUUUUUUCUUUUUUGUUUUCUGGUUUUAUAUAUAUUGUAUGUUUGUAUGUAUGUAUGUAUGUGUUUCUUUGUUUCUUGUUUCUUGUCCUUGUUUCUGUUGCAUUGAGCGAGAUAUAGCUAUUUUCUAUGUCUGUUCCAUCUCUAGAUAGGAUUCUGUGAGGGACAAGGGAGUCCCCACCCCUUUUUAUUUUUAUUUUUAUUUUUAUUUCUGGGACAUGGCACAUGCUAUUCCUUCCGCAUUUCUCUCUGCUUUAUGCUCUUCAUAUAUUUGAUUUAAAGCUCAGCGCUUGUAUGUAUAUAGAGGCAUAGCUGUCCCCCUCACAGCUGUACAUAUGGACUAUCCCCUUUGUUGUUUCUAUCGUCCGUAUCUAUUUAUCCGUGUCAAUUGCACCCUUUUUUCCCCUGCAUGCUGUCUUUUAUCCCUACCCACCCCCCCCCUUCUUGCAUAAGGAUUGAUGUCACUCCAAUAGAUACCUCUUUAUAUAU